This is a long non-coding RNA of Trichechus manatus latirostris (Florida manatee), 431 nucleotides long. RefSeq lists it as uncharacterized. The transcript is spliced from 3 exons. NCBI's taxonomy places the organism in Eukaryota, Metazoa, Chordata, Mammalia, Sirenia, Trichechidae. The record is from RefSeq and is a predicted model, not a curated record.
AAGUGUCGCAAUAAGGACCCUCUACCGGACCCGAUACGGCAUCCCUGGAUCCAUCUGUGAUGACUGUUUGGCAACCAGCUGCUGUCCUUUAUGUACUCUUUGCCAACUCAAGAGAGACAUCAACAGAAGGAGAGCCAUGCAUGCUUUCUGAAAAGCUAAUGGUAGAAAGCUCUUACUGAAGCAACUAAAAUCAGCAGCCACCUCUUCAGCUUGAGCACUUCUCUACCUUUUGCAACUUGAAAUAUGAUGAACAAGUUUCAUCACAACUGAUGGGGAAAAAAUCAAAUUUUUACUCAUUUUAAAUGAACACUCUCCCUUAAUUUCGCUAAAUGGUUCACCUUAGUUUUCCCUCACUUUCACGCUCUCAGAUUUUCUGCCUUAUAAAUUUUGAAGAUUACAUUUGAAUAUAAACCAAAUGAAAGAUUUUACUA